GGCCCCCGACCCCACACUCGGGGAUUUCUAGGCGCCGCCUUCCCCAGGCUCCCGGACUCUCCCCGGCUCUGGCCGGACUGGGUCUCCCCGACCCCUGCCCACCCAGCCCAGGCCGGACCCCCCGCAGCUCGUCCACCUCCCAGGCUGGGCCGACCCCCCAGCACUUAGUUGGUCUUUAGGACACGCCCCUGUGCUGGACUGGUCUCCCGGGCGCGUGUAGGAAGCCCGACAGUGGCUCCAGUCACUUUCCCUGGGUGACCACCCUGUGUACGUGGGUGGUGCCUGUUCCACAGCAACACAGGACCCACACCAGGCCACUCCUGGGGAAGCCACCAGCAGCCACUGGACAGUAGGCGAGCAAGCGGCCCCCUAGGCCCUGUCCACCUGGGCCGUUCCAGUACAGUGUGGAUGCGUCCUGAGCGUCUUCCCAUCUAUGCGGCCCGGCGACACCAACAUGCAAGGCCUGCGGGAGCUGGGAGGAGAGCUCGGCGGGAUGCCCCUCCUAAGCGGGUCUCUGAGUGACCUCCCCCGGGAAGCAGGCGAGGUUGCUCUCCGCCAGGCUUCUGAAGACAGCAGUGCAAGCGAGGCAGCUGGGAGGCAGAGCCCGGCCGAUGUGGAGGGGGUGAGGACGGGCUCCCAGCUUUCUCCUGCCCCGGAAGCCAGGAUCUCUGGGCUCAGUGGGAGCUUUUCCACCUGCACCACGCCGGGUCUGGACCCAGUGGAGCACAGCAGUGCCUGGGGGGAGUUUGAAGGCUUUCGGGAAUCUUCAGCCAAGUCUGAACAAUUCUCCCGGUCCUUUGAACUUCCGGAGAGGGCCACAGCAGCUCAGUCACCAAGACCGGCUUCCCACAAGCAGCAUGGUUCUCAGCCACCGCCCCAGGGUGGACCUUGGGUGACAGGAACCGCGGCCAUCUCACCUUCUGAGCCCAUGGUCAGCUACGAGAAAAUUUUUAGGUUUGCUUUUCAAGAAGUACCAGUCGAGCAGGCAGCUGAAGGUGUUCCCACCUUAGACCAUUUCCUAGAGGCCGGCAGUGAGGGGGAGCCGGGCCUGGGGUCUGUACAUAAACGGUGUCCCGAAUCCAGAAGGCUCUGGGCAGCUCUGCACCACGCAGACAGCACGUCCACAUCCCGCUGCCCGUGGCACGCCUCCCGCUGCCGGCAAAACUUCUUGCUCGUUCUCGGAGUCGACUCUGCUCAGGUGAGUGACUCAGGUGGAGGUGGGCGGACUGCUCAUGACCGUGCCAGCCCCCUGUGGCCACGGACACAGCGUCACCUCGGGACACAGCGGGCUGGCCUGUGGGGUCCAGGUGGUGAAGCGCUGGCUGUCGGGGUUGGGACGAGGCAGGCGCAUGGGGAGGAUGGGGGUGCCUGGGGCCCAGGCGCCAGUGCCCGCCCCGUGUGGCUGGCAGGUGUCUUGGCGGGCCAGCCCCGGGACCAGGUCAGAAGGAGGUGCCCAGUGGGGGCACUGCCACUCAGCGCGAGGGUGAGGAGCCGGGAGGGCGAAGUCAGCCGGGGCAGCUGCGUCUCAUGGGGACACCAGCUGACAGCAGUCUGGCUCAUGAGUUAUCGGAGACCAUGCAGGCUGGUGAGAGCUGGUGCUCAGCAAUGAGGUUGGCAAGGACCUUCUUCCAUGUUCGGUAUCAUGGAGAUUUCCAAACAUGGGAGACACAGAGGGGCUGGCAGGCCCAGUGAAGAUGGGCACGGCGUGGUUGCCGAGUGGGCCGGGACAGAGGCGACGGGCCACCUGGCUGUGUCCUGGUGCCAGGCCAACAGCUGGGAGGGCGGGGUGGGGGCAGCCUAAACAGGAGGCUCAGCGGAGACAGCUCCAGGCCUGCAGGUAGUGAGAAGGUGCAGGGGCCCCCUAGCCCCGUGACGGGUGACGGGAGGGCAGUGAGCGGCAGGGCUGGGGGGCAGGGACACGCAGUCUGCGGGGACAGGUGCUGGAGCUGUGACGAAAGAAGGGGGGCAGGGGCAGCCAUCUCCCCGGCUCCCCGCUGGCCAACAGCCCUUCGUGUCCUCAGGACGUUUCCGGGAGCGAGGGUCACGCGGUGGAAGGUGCCGAGCCCCGCGAGCCUGGAGGGGCCGGGGCCCACGGCGUGCAUCCGCCGGGCUGCGGAGCGGUGACGCAGGCCGAGCUCUCAGGGACGCCAGGCAGCAGGCCGGGGGGCCUC
RNA transcript from Pteropus alecto (black flying fox), 2171 nucleotides. It is a transcript of the gene named clathrin binding box of aftiphilin containing 1, with no coding region annotated. The transcript has 4 exons. The record is from RefSeq and is a predicted model, not a curated record. Lineage: Eukaryota; Metazoa; Chordata; Mammalia; Chiroptera; Pteropodidae.